RNAcentral lists this non-coding RNA (24 nucleotides) under Arabidopsis thaliana (thale cress). Lineage: Eukaryota; Viridiplantae; Streptophyta; Magnoliopsida; Brassicales; Brassicaceae. The record is from RNAcentral.
GGAGCAGCAGGGCCUUUAUGUUGC